AGUCGAACGGUAACAGGAAGAAGCUUGCUUCUUUGCUGACGAGUGGCGGACGGGUGAGUAAUGUCUGGGAAACUGCCUGAUGGAGGGGGAUAACUACUGGAAACGGUAGCUAAUACCGCAUAACGUCGCAAGACCAAAGAGGGGGACCUUCGGGCCUCUUGCCAUCGGAUGUGCCCAGAUGGGAUUAGCUAGUAGGUGGGGUAACGGCUCACCUAGGCGACGAUCCCUAGCUGGUCUGAGAGGAUGACCAGCCACACUGGAACUGAGACACGGUCCAGACUCCUACGGGAGGCAGCAGUGGGGAAUAUUGCACAAUGGGCGCAAGCCUGAUGCAGCCAUGCCGCGUGUAUGAAGAAGGCCUUCGGGUUGUAAAGUACUUUCAGCGGGGAGGAAGGGAGUAAAGUUAAUACCUUUGCUCAUUGACGUUACCCGCAGAAGAAGCACCGGCUAACUCCGUGCCAGCAGCCGCGGUAAUACGGAGGGUGCAAGCGUUAAUCGGAAUUACUGGGCGUAAAGCGCACGCAGGCGGUUUGUUAAGUCAGAUGUGAAAUCCCCGGGCUCAACCUGGGAACUGCAUCUGAUACUGGCAAGCUUGAGUCUCGUAGAGGGGGGUAGAAUUCCAGGUGUAGCGGUGAAAUGCGUAUAGAUCUGGAGGAAUACCGGUGGCGAAGCGGCCCCCUGGACGAAGACUGACGCUCAGUGCGAAAGCGUGGGGAGCAAACAGGAUUAGAUACCCCUGGUAGUCCACGCCGUAAACGAUGUCACUUGGAGGUUGUGCCC
Molecule: ribosomal RNA, 780 nt
Filed under: uncultured bacterium
Lineage: Bacteria
Description: bacterial SSU rRNA
Rfam family: Bacterial small subunit ribosomal RNA
Source: RNAcentral